This 1080-nucleotide long non-coding RNA is filed under the name Sorghum bicolor (sorghum). Its description in RNAcentral is "long non-coding RNA (SBIC_LNC007210)". Lineage: Eukaryota; Viridiplantae; Streptophyta; Magnoliopsida; Poales; Poaceae. The record is from RNAcentral.
GAGCCAUAAUGUUCAUCGAGCUGUUUUUCUUUUUCUUCUUCUAAAAACAACUAGAAUCUGGUGAAGCCACUCCCAAGUCUCAAGAGGCUUCACUUGCUUUCAUGAGUCGUCUAUACAGUGCAAAGAAGAUGGAGAGGCUGUAGCUCACGUGAUAUGUGCCAAGGAGGCUCUAAAUAACUCAGACGCUUUGUUCUCCUCCGCCUUGCGAGCCUCCUGCCUAGACAAAUGUAUUCGUCCUCAUGUGCAACAACCUUGUGGUCUUGAGAGACGGGCACCUCCCUAUCUCUCCAACCAUGAUAAACUGGUUUUUCGAUGAGAACAUCUUUAUGGGGCCUUUGUUUGUCCCGCUGAUAAGCCCUUCUUCGUCCAUCCUCACAAAUGUGACCUCAGAUCUGUCUUACUCUAUCCACGGUAGUUCUCAUGGUCAUCCACUCUAACUCUAGCAAUAGUGCAUGUAUAACUCUAGCAUUAGCUGAUGAAGUGAUGAUGCUGGUCAUUGUACCUGUUUUGACUUUUCUUGGGAAUAGGGUCUUGUUUACUUUCCAUAAAUUUUGUAAAAAAAAAAAAGAUUCCUCGUCACAUCAAAUCUUGCGGCACAUGCAUAGAACAUUAAAUAUAGAUAAAAAAUUAACUAGUUGCACAAUUUAUCUGUAAUUUACGAGAAGAAUCUUUUAAGCCUAUUUAGUCUAUGGUUUAAUAAUAUUUUGUCAAAUAUAAACGAAAAUGGUAACAUGUUCAUUUUGUAAAAUAUUUUGCAACUAAGUAGACCUAUAAGGAUGAAGUGGUUAGAAGAUGGCACUGCUGGAUAAACGGGUGAUGAGUUGGAAAGAAUGAAAGAAAGAAAGAAACGAAUGAAUGGAAAGAAAUAAAGACUCUGCAGAAAGCGUAAGGGGCGAGUCUAGUAGUAGUACUAGCGUUAGUUGACUUUGUGUAUGCAUGGUUGCUGUGGAAUGCUUGGAAAACAAAGGCUUUGUUUACUUCCAUCUAAAAAUCCAAAAAAUUUUAAGAUUCCAUGUCACAUCGAAUCUUUAGAUAUAUGUAUAGAGUAUUAAAUAUAGAUGAAAAUAAAGACUAAUUGUA